UAGGGAAUCUUCGGCAAUGGACGAAAGUCUGACCGAGCAACGCCGCGUGAGUGAAGAAGGUUUUCGGAUCGUAAAACUCUGUUGUUAGAGAAGAACAAGGACGUUAGUAACUGAACGUCCCCUGACGGUAUCUAACCAGAAAGCCACGGCUAACUACGUGCCAGCAGCCGCGGUAAUACGUAGGUGGCAAGCGUUGUCCGGAUUUAUUGGGCGUAAAGCGAGCGCAGGCGGUUUCUUAAGUCUGAUGUGAAAGCCCCCGGCUCAACCGGGGAGGGUCAUUUGAAACUGGGAGACUGGAGUGCAGAAGAGGAGAGUGGAAUUCCAUGUGUAGCGGUGAAAUGCGUAGAUAUAUGGAGGAACACCAGUGGCGAAGGCGGCUCUCUGGUCUGUAACUGACGCUGAGGCUCGAAAGCGUGGGGAGCAAACAGG
Molecule: ribosomal RNA, 429 nt
Filed under: Gemmatimonadota bacterium
Lineage: Bacteria; Pseudomonadati; Gemmatimonadota
Description: Gemmatimonadetes bacterium partial 16S ribosomal RNA
Rfam family: Bacterial small subunit ribosomal RNA
Source: RNAcentral